CAAAAAAUGUAUACUUAAUUCCAACUCACCCAGCUGGCAAAGAAUCUUACUUAAUUUACUUCACAGACAUAACCCUGGGUUUGAAUAAUUUGAGAUCACUACAAACUCAGUAGCUGAAGAUGUCACGGAUUUUAUUCUCUUAUAGUUCUGGAUCUCUGAGAUCCUGAGGAAUGAGCCUGGGACCUUGCAUAUGCUAAGCACACACCCUACCACUGAGCUACCUCUCCAGCCCACAGUGACCAUUAUAUUCUGACUCACUUGUUUUGUUAAGUUUAAAAUUUGAUUUGUAUUCUACACUUUUCUAGACUUACAAUGAAUGCUUAUUAGUUAUAAUAAGAUAUUUAAAUAAAUGUAAAACAUAAGCAUCAAAUUAAGUCUCACCAGUAAAAGCCCACAAACCAAC
Molecule: long non-coding RNA, 403 nt
Organism: Heterocephalus glaber (naked mole-rat)
Lineage: Eukaryota; Metazoa; Chordata; Mammalia; Rodentia; Bathyergidae
Source: Ensembl